RNAcentral lists this ribosomal RNA (432 nucleotides) under uncultured bacterium. Its description in RNAcentral is "partial 16S ribosomal RNA". It matches the Rfam family "Bacterial small subunit ribosomal RNA", at positions 29 to 506 of the family's 1533-position model. The record is from RNAcentral.
AACGAACGCUGGCGGCAUGCCUAACACAUGCCAGUCGAACGAGACCUUCGGGUCUAGUGGCGCACGGGUGCGUAACGCGUGGGAACCUGCCCUUAGGUUCGGAAUAACUCCCCGAAAGGGGUGCUAAUACCGGAUAAUGUCUUCGGACCAAAGAUUUAUCGCCUUUGGAUGGGCCCGCGUUGGAUUAGCUAGUUGGUAGGGUAAAAGCCUACCAAGGCGACGAUCCAUAGCUGGUCUGAGAGGAUGAUCAGCCACACUAGGACUGAGACACGGCCCAGACUCCUACGGGAGGCAGCAGUGGGGAAUAUUGGACAAUGGGCGAAAGCCUGAUCCAGCAAUGCCGCGUGAGUGAUGAAGGCCUUAGGGUUGUAAAGCUCUUUUACCCGGGAUGAUAAUGACAGUACCGGGAGAAUAAGCUCCGGCUAACUCCGU